AAUAGAUACCCUGGUAGUCCACGCCGUAAACGAUGAGUGCUAAGUGUUGGAGGGUUUCCGCCCUUCAGUGCUGCAGCUAACGCAUUAAGCACUCCGCCUGGGGAGUACGGUCGCAAGACUGAAACUCAAAGGAAUUGACGGGGGCCCGCACAAGCGGUGGAGCAUGUGGUUUAAUUCGAAGCAACGCGAAGAACCUUACCAGGUCUUGACAUCUCCUGACCGCCCUGGAGACAGGGUCUUCCCUUCGGGGACAGGAUGACAGGUGGUGCAUGGUUGUCGUCAGCUCGUGUCGUGAGAUGUUGGGUUAAGUCCCGCAACGAGCGCAACCCUUGAUUCUAGUUGCCAGCAUUCAGUUGGGCACUCUAGAGUGACUGCCGGCGAUAAGUCGGAGGAAGGUGGGGAUGACGUCAAAUCAUCAUGCCCCUUAUGACCUGGGCUACACACGUGCUACAAUGGAUGGUACAAAGGGCUGCGAAACCGCGAGGUUGAGCUAACUCCAAAAAACCAUUCUCAGUUCGGAUU
Molecule: ribosomal RNA, 522 nt
Filed under: uncultured bacterium
Lineage: Bacteria
Description: bacterial SSU rRNA
Rfam family: Bacterial small subunit ribosomal RNA
Source: RNAcentral